Long non-coding RNA from Pocillopora damicornis (cauliflower coral), 506 nucleotides. The record is from RefSeq and is a predicted model, not a curated record. NCBI's taxonomy places the organism in Eukaryota, Metazoa, Cnidaria, Anthozoa, Scleractinia, Pocilloporidae.
CCACAUUCCACUGGUAAGAAGCAUAGGUUCGUCUUUUAAAAGAGAGGCAUGCGUUAGUGGAGGAAAUCUGAUUAAGAUUUACACAAACCAAUGUCAAGUUGUAAACGGAAAGAAGCAGUGUCCGGUUUACUGCAAUGGCAGAGGCACUUUCGACCAACAGACAAGAUUUGAGAUCUCGAAGUACAAAAGUAAGAAGUGUAUUCAAUUUGAUGACGGAAGCAUCAGAUAUUCGUUGAAAGUCAUAAAUGGGACGGACGUAAUUUUUGAGGAACAGUCAGCGUGCGAUACAACAACCAGCCACGACUUCCUAUUCAAAGAGGAGAAAAAUACCGCCGGAAAAUUUACAUACAAAUACACCUCGAGUACCAAUCAGGCGUUGUACCUCGGAGUUAGUGCCAACUGCUCUGAUGAAAAUCUAUAUUUUCUUUCCACAACUAAUCAAGACAAACGGUGUUUCAUGGAGAGAUGGUCUUGACUGUAUGUUGAUUUCACAAAGUUCUGAAUUU